RNAcentral lists this long non-coding RNA (1057 nucleotides) under Ursus maritimus (polar bear). RNAcentral's name for it is "lncRNA (ENSUMAG00000024902.1)". Lineage: Eukaryota; Metazoa; Chordata; Mammalia; Carnivora; Ursidae. The record is from RNAcentral.
GCGGGGGUCAGCAUUGUGGGCUCCUCCUGUUUCAGAGGAAGCACUGUGUAGACCACAUCGCUAGGCUCGUCUCUCUGGGGCCUUCAGAGUAUCUGUGUUCACCUGGGACGGGCUCCCUUACAGGCGGACAUGAAGUACGUUAUUUAAGAGAGACCAGACAUGUGGAUUUUUCGGUGAAAUCAGCCAGACUUUAAAUGUUUAGAAAAUGUGGACGGGCCUCCAGGUUGAUCAGCGUUCUUGGGACAGGUACCAGGCGGAGGCUGUCCACCUCCUCCAGCAGAAUGCCUCGGCCGCUGCCAGGGCCUUGCCCGAGGUGCACGUGCUGGCCAACUGCUGCAUCCUCAGGAAAACGUGGCAGGAGCUGAGCCAGCAACAUGUUCCGUGUGCAGACCUGGGCCUGGCUGUGCAAGGCACGAUCCAGCACAUUGAGGACCACAGCCGGGACAACCUCCUGCCUCGAGUCAGGGCCUUGUGCCAGAGUCUGCUAAGGGGCCACUUUGGGAAGAAGGACAAGGAUCUGGUUGGAGCUCUGCAGUCCCUGUGGCAGGGCCUGGAGGGCUGCCCCAACAUGCACUCUACUCCCACGUACAAGAGAAUCAUGCGAAGUUUGCACACGGUGGUCUUUGGGGAGUAUGUCCAGGCCCUGGCCACCCACCUCAGGACGCUGGAGCCUGGGACGUGGGAGGGCCUCGGGGUUCAGGUGGAGACAGACACCAGGAAGUUGCACGACAUCUUCACGAAGCAUGGGGUGAGCCGUGGCCGCUCGGGUAGGCUGAGUGCUGGGGGGCUUUAUUCUCCCUUUCCAGUUCUUGCCUCUCCUGGCCCCCUGCCUGGGCUAUGUGUGCUCUCCUCACUCAAACCACAAUCAGACCUGACAGCACUGGGCCUUGAAUCCCGCACACAAGGCUGGGGCCACCUGCUUUCAUGGCAAAGGCUGAGGUGGGGGCAGGGAUGUUGCAAGCUGGGGGGAGGCAGCCCCCGCCCCCCCAGGCCAGGACAGCCUGUGGGAGCUCAGGAGGUAACAUCAGCAGGACCAGGAAGCUCUGACCAGCAGUGA